This 72-nucleotide transfer RNA is filed under the name Fukomys damarensis (Damara mole-rat). It matches the Rfam family "tRNA". From Rfam's summary of the family: Transfer RNA (tRNA) molecules are approximately 80 nucleotides in length. Their secondary structure includes four short double-helical elements and three loops (D, anti-codon, and T loops). The record is from Rfam by way of RNAcentral. Lineage: Eukaryota; Metazoa; Chordata; Mammalia; Rodentia; Bathyergidae.
GGGGAUGUAGCUCAGUGGCACAGCACCUGCUUGGGAAGCAUGAGGCCCUGAGUUUGAUUCCUAGUACCCCCC